This 253-nucleotide ribosomal RNA is filed under the name uncultured bacterium. Its description in RNAcentral is "partial 16S ribosomal RNA". It matches the Rfam family "Bacterial small subunit ribosomal RNA", at positions 524 to 776 of the family's 1533-position model. The record is from RNAcentral.
UACGGAGGGGGCUAGCGUUGUUCGGAAUUACUGGGCGUAAAGGGCGCGUAGGCGGUUCGGUAAGUCCUGUGUGAAAUCCCUCGGCUCAACUGAGGAACUGCACGGGAGACUGCCGGGCUUGAGUUCGGGAGAGGGAAGCGGAAUUCCGGGUGUAGCGGUGAAAUGCGUAGAUAUCCGGAGGAACACCGGUGGCGAAGGCGGCUUCCUGGACCGACACUGACGCUGAGGCGCGAAAGCUAGGGGAGCAAACGGG